AUCUCAUAUCUCUGUUCUCUCUCAUCUCUCUCAACGCCACUCUCUUCUCUCUCAUCUCUCUCAACGCCUCUCUCAUGUUACCACCACCGUGUCUUCUCCUCGUCUCACCACCACCGUGUCUCCUCCUCGUCUCACCACCACCGUUUUCCCCCUUGUCUCUCUCAAUUACAUAAAUCACACUCUUAACCAUUGGAUUAACUUAGAUGUAAAGUUAAUUUCAGGGAUCCGAGCUUGAUGAUGAAAGAAAGACUUAGAUGGGGAGAUCCAAUGGCUCAUUUGGUCAACGUAUUGUUUAUACAUCUGCUUACUCUAUAAACCCAUCACUAACCGAGACCGCCUUUCUAUAGAAACAAAUGACCCCAAGAGCUCACAUCGACGGGAAGGUUUGGCACCUCCAUGUCGGCUCUUCGCCACCUUGGAGCACGAGACACCUCUUAUGGAUCUAGGGGCCGACGAUAAGAUGAAAGUCUGGAUUUUCAUACCACAAAGUAUCCCCAAGCACAACUGGUUAACAAGAGGAUUAGAAGCUACACCUAGUCCGUAUGGAAUCAAACCCGGUAGACAUUAUUGGGAUGGAGUUGACUGCAGUAAGUAAUACAGGACAUGAGAAGGAUAGGUUUAAGAAGACGAGGGAGAAAAAAACAACAAAAGAGAAGCUUACCUUUAUAAAAUAAGUUAAUGUUUGACUGUGUGUCUUUUGUUUGGAUUCCACGUUCUGAAAACAAGGUUGCUGAUGCUCUGGCAAAGUAUGCCUUGAUGCUCUGGCAAAGUAUGCCUUGUCGAACGCAUCCUUGGGCUGUUUAUGAUAUGUAAUCAGAAUUUGUUGGGCUAAAUGUGGUUUGGUUCAGGAAAUAACCUCUCUAAACUGAUGAACUAUGGGUUUGAUAUGUUAAGACAA
This is a long non-coding RNA of Brassica oleracea var. oleracea, 898 nucleotides long. RefSeq lists it as uncharacterized. NCBI's taxonomy places the organism in Eukaryota, Viridiplantae, Streptophyta, Magnoliopsida, Brassicales, Brassicaceae. The transcript has 3 exons. The record is from RefSeq and is a predicted model, not a curated record.